GCCGCGGUCCCCUAAUGGUAUGGGGCGAGGUUUAGACCCUCGGCCUGAAAAGGUAUCCGGGUUCGACUCCCGGCCGCGGCG
This 81-nucleotide transfer RNA is filed under the name Candidatus Woesearchaeota archaeon. RNAcentral's name for it is "tRNA-Leu". It matches the Rfam family "tRNA". From Rfam's summary of the family: Transfer RNA (tRNA) molecules are approximately 80 nucleotides in length. Their secondary structure includes four short double-helical elements and three loops (D, anti-codon, and T loops). The record is from RNAcentral. Lineage: Archaea; Nanobdellati; Candidatus Woesearchaeota.